CCUACGGGAGGCAGCAGUGAGGAAUAUUGGUCAAUGGACGAGAGUCUGAACCAGCCAAGUAGCGUGAAGGAUGACUGCCCUACGGGUUGUAAACUUCUUUUAUAUGGGAAUAAAAUGUUCCACGUGUGGGAUUUUUUAUGUACCAUAUGAAUAAGGAUCGGCUAACACCGUGCCAGCAGCCGCGGUAAUACGGAGGAUCCGAGCGUUAUCCGGAUUUAUUUGGUUUAAAGGGAGCGUAGGUGGAUUGUUAAGUCAGUUGUGAAAGUUUGCGGCUCAACCGUAAAAUUGCAGUUGAAACUGGCGGUCUUGAGUACAGUAGGGGUGGGCGGAAUUCGUGGUGUAGCGGUGAAAUGCUUAGAUAUCACGAAGAACUCCGAUUGCGAAGGCAGCUGACUGGACUGCAACUGACACUGAGGCUCGAAAGUGUGGGUAUCAAACAGGAUUAGAUACCCCAGUAGUC
Molecule: ribosomal RNA, 460 nt
Filed under: uncultured bacterium
Lineage: Bacteria
Description: partial 16S ribosomal RNA
Rfam family: Bacterial small subunit ribosomal RNA
Source: RNAcentral